GUGGGGAAUAUUGGACAAUGGGCGAAAGCCUGAUCCAGCCAUGCCGCGUGUGUGAAGAAGGUCUUCGGAUUGUAAAGCACUUUAAGUUGGGAGGAAGGGCAGUAAGUUAAUACCUUGCUGUUUUGACGUUACCGACAGAAUAAGCACCGGCUAACUUCGUGCCAGCAGCCGCGGUAAUACGAAGGGUGCAAGCGUUAAUCGGAAUUACUGGGCGUAAAGCGCGCGUAGGUGUUUUUGUAAGUUGGAGGUGAAAUCCCCGGGCUCAACCUGGGAACUGACUCCAAAGAUGCAUGACUAGAGUACGGUAGAGGGUAGUGGAAUUUCCUGUGUAGCGGUGAAAUGCGUAGAUAUAGGAAGGAACACCAGUGGCGAAGGCGACUACCUGGACUGAUACUGACACUGAGGUGCGAAAGCGUGGGGAGCAAACAGGAUUAGAAACCCUGGUAGUCC
RNAcentral lists this ribosomal RNA (450 nucleotides) under uncultured bacterium. RNAcentral's name for it is "bacterial SSU rRNA". It matches the Rfam family "Bacterial small subunit ribosomal RNA", at positions 354 to 796 of the family's 1533-position model. The record is from RNAcentral.